GGGGGGGGGUGGGGGGGGGCGUGGGGGCGGGGGGGCGGGCGGGGGGGCGGGGAGCUGGCGGCGCUGAUGUGGGCGGCGGGCGGGGGGGUGACGCGUGGAUGACCCCCCUAUACGACUGGGAGAACUUCGGGAAACCGGAGCUAGGGCCGGAGCAGAUUUUUAACCGCCGGGUUCAAGAGCGAAAGGGGGCCUUGCUGUCCAUUGUCGAUGGAUCCGCGCUGCAUUAGCUAGUUGGUAAGGUAACGGCUUACCAAGGCAACGAUGCAGAGCCGACCUGAGAGGGUGAUCGGCCACACUGGAACUGAGACACGGUCCAGACUCCUACGGGAGGCAGCAGUAGGGACUCUUCCGCAAUGGGCGAAAGCCUGACGGAGCAACGCCGCGUGAGUGAUGAAGGUCUUCGGAUCGUAAAACUCUGUUAUUAGGGAAGAACAUAUGUGUAAGUAACUGUGCACAUCUUGACGGUACCUAAUCAGAAAGCCACGGCUAACUACGUG
This 497-nucleotide ribosomal RNA is filed under the name uncultured bacterium. Its description in RNAcentral is "partial 16S ribosomal RNA". The stretch from base 54 to 497 matches the Rfam family "Bacterial small subunit ribosomal RNA", at positions 35 to 507 of the family's 1533-position model. The record is from RNAcentral.